AUACUAACCUGGCAGGGGAGAUAACCAUGAUCACGAAGAUGGUUUUCCCAGGGUAAAGCUUAUCCCCUGCACUCUUGAUGUGUUGACCCCUGCAAUUUCCCCAAAUGCGGGAAACUCGACUGCAUAAUUUGUGGUAGUGGGGAACUUCAUUCACGCUCUUCCCUG
This 165-nucleotide small nuclear RNA is filed under the name Castor canadensis (American beaver). Its description in RNAcentral is "U1 spliceosomal RNA (ENSCCNG00000005336.1)". It matches the Rfam family "U1 spliceosomal RNA". From Rfam's summary of the family: U1 is a small nuclear RNA (snRNA) component of the spliceosome (involved in pre-mRNA splicing). Its 5' end forms complementary base pairs with the 5' splice junction, thus defining the 5' donor site of an intron. Lineage: Eukaryota; Metazoa; Chordata; Mammalia; Rodentia; Castoridae. The record is from Rfam by way of RNAcentral.